CAAUAGCGUAUACCAAAGUUGUUGCAGUUAAAACGCUCGUAGUCGAAUUUUGGUGUGAGUUAUGGAGACUCCUACUGGAUGUUGAAGUAACUUCGCCUUUGUGGAGGGGGGUGUGGUGGUACUUUAUUGUAUUGCUGCAUUUCCGCCACUGUUUACUGUGAAAAAAUUAGAGUGUUCAAAGCGAGCGUUUGCCAUGAAUACAUUAGCAUGGAAUAAUAGAAUAGGACCUGGUUCUGUUUUAUUGGUUUGUCUGUAUCAGGUAAUGAUUAACAGGGACGGUCGGGGGUAUUUGUAUUCCAGCGUUAGAGGUGAAAUUCUUGGAUCGCUGGAAGACAGACAGCUGCGAAAGCGUCUACCAAGGACGUUUUCAUUGA
Molecule: ribosomal RNA, 374 nt
Filed under: uncultured eukaryote
Lineage: Eukaryota
Description: partial 18S ribosomal RNA
Rfam family: Eukaryotic small subunit ribosomal RNA
Source: RNAcentral